ACGUACUCCUCUCUCACUUUCCCUCUCACUCCCACUGGUGUACCUCCAUACCACCACCUGCACCAUCUUUUUCUGGUGAAGUUUAUUGAAAAACUCCAUAGGAAAAAGCUAAGGCUCGCUCAUUUCUAUGAUUUGAGGUUCUAGCUAAUCUCAUUUGGAGCUUGGAGAAUUAGACUUUUUGUGGGUUGCAAGUUUUUCAGAUCAAUUAGCUAUGCCUCGAGUAUGGAGUUUACUUUAUUUGGUGGUAAUUGGAGUGCUAUGUUAAAUUGAGAGACUUUUGCUGUAAAUGGCUGGUGACUCAAUCUUGCUAUGUUCAACGAGGUCGUAAUUAGCUCUAUUGGAGGUAGGGCACUUCAGGUUUGUUAGCCUUAGGCAUGGUAGGCCUAGAUUUGAUGUUGAGUUGUCUAUUCUUGAUAAGAUUGUGACCUUGUGUAAUCCAUUUGGAGUUUUGUAAUAUAUUCAUGUAUUAUAUGGAGGCACAUGAUUUUUA
Quercus robur (English oak) is the source of this 490-nucleotide long non-coding RNA. RefSeq lists it as uncharacterized. The record is from RefSeq and is a predicted model, not a curated record. Lineage: Eukaryota; Viridiplantae; Streptophyta; Magnoliopsida; Fagales; Fagaceae. The transcript is spliced from 3 exons.